This 230-nucleotide long non-coding RNA is filed under the name Elaeis guineensis (African oil palm). RNAcentral's name for it is "long non-coding RNA (EGUI_LNC014345)". The record is from RNAcentral. Lineage: Eukaryota; Viridiplantae; Streptophyta; Magnoliopsida; Arecales; Arecaceae.
UAAUAGAUUAAAAAAUUAAGUUAGCAAACUAAUUAUUUACUAAAUGAUGAAAAUAUAUAGACUAAAAAUAAUAUAAAAUAAUACCGAUCAUAGGAGGACAUCCAUCAUCAUCGGUCAAGUCAUCAUCAUAGGCAUUAGUAGGAACAUCGGGAGUUGAUGGGGGAGGCAUGCUGGGGGGCAUGCGGCGAACUAACUCAUCGAGCUUUAUCCCAAAUAUUACAAACUGGGAU